AGCUCCUGAUGUUAGCGGCGGACGGGUGAGUAACACGUGGGUAACCUGCCUGUAAGACUGGGAUAACUCCGGGAAACCGGGGCUAAUACCGGAUGCUUGAUUGAACCGCAUGGUUCAAUUAUAAAAGGUGGCUUUUAGCUACCACUUACAGAUGGACCCGCGGCGCAUUAGCUAGUUGGUGAGGUAACGGCUCACCAAGGCAACGAUGCGUAGCCGACCUGAGAGGGUGAUCGGCCACACUGGGACUGAGACACGGCCCAGACUCCUACGGGAGGCAGCAGUAGGGAAUCUUCCGCAAUGGACGAAAGUCUGACGGAGCAACGCCGCGUGAGUGAUGAAGGUUUUCGGAUCGUAAAACUCUGUUGUUAGGGAAGAACAAGUACCGUUCGAAUAGGGCGGUACCUUGACGGUACCUAACCAGAAAGCCACGGCUAACUACGUGCCAGCAGCCGCGGUAAUACGUAGGUGGCAAGCGUUGUCCGGAAUUAUUGGGCGUAAAGCGCGCGCAGGCGGUUUCUUAAGUCUGAUGUGAAAGCCCCCGGCUCAACCGGGGAGGGUCAUUGGAAACUGGGGAACUUGAGUGCAGAAGAGGAGAGUGGAAUUCCACGUGUAGCGGUGAAAUGCGUANAGAUGUGGAGGAACACCAGNGGCGAAGGNGACUCUCUGGUCUGUAACUGACGCUGAGGCGCGAAAGCGUGGGGAGCGAACAGGAUUANAUACCCUGG
This 725-nucleotide ribosomal RNA is filed under the name bacterium MPII.11. RNAcentral's name for it is "bacterial SSU rRNA". It matches the Rfam family "Bacterial small subunit ribosomal RNA", at positions 81 to 790 of the family's 1533-position model. The record is from RNAcentral.